ACAAGAUUGGAUUUGGAUUACCACCUAGUGGCGGACGGGUGAGUAACACGUAGGUGACCUGCCUUGAAGAGGGGGACAACAGUUGGAAACGACUGCUAAUACCGCAUGACGCAUAGGGGUCGCAUGAUCUUUAUGCCAAAGAUUUAUCGCUUCAAGAUGGCCUCGCGUCUGAUUAGCUAGUUGGCGGGGUAACGGCCCACCAAGGCGACGAUCAGUAGCCGGACUGAGAGGUUGAACGGCCACAUUGGGACUGAGAUACGGCCCAGACUCC
RNAcentral lists this ribosomal RNA (271 nucleotides) under uncultured Oscillibacter sp. RNAcentral describes it as "partial 16S ribosomal RNA". It matches the Rfam family "Bacterial small subunit ribosomal RNA", at positions 66 to 339 of the family's 1533-position model. The record is from RNAcentral. Lineage: Bacteria; Bacillati; Bacillota; Clostridia; Eubacteriales; Oscillospiraceae.